Molecule: ribosomal RNA, 440 nt
Filed under: uncultured bacterium
Lineage: Bacteria
Description: partial 16S ribosomal RNA
Rfam family: Bacterial small subunit ribosomal RNA
Source: RNAcentral
CCUACGGGAGGCAGCAGUAGGGAAUAUUGCUCAAUGGGGGAAACCCUGAAGCAGCAACGCCGCGUGGAGGAUGAAGGUUUUCGGAUUGUAAACUCCUUUUGUUAGAGAAGAAAAUGACGGUAGCUAACGAAUAAGCACCGGCUAACUCCGUGCCAGCAGCCGCGGUAAUACGGAGGGGGCAAGCGUUACUCGGAAUCACUGGGCGUAAAGAGCGCGUAGGCGGGAUAGCAAGUCAGAUGUGAAAUCCUAUGGCUUAACCAUAGAACUGCAUUUGAAACUGUUAUUCUAGAGUAUGGGAGAGGUAGGUGGAAUUCUUGGUGUAGGGGUAAAAUCCGUAGAUAUCAAGAGGAAUACUCAUUGCGAAGGCGACCUGCUGGAACAUAACUGACGCUGAUGCGCGAAAGCGUGGGGAGCAAACAGGAUUAGAUACCCUUGUAGUC